GCACCGUGCUUUGAUCAGGUCCGCCAGGAUUAAACAGCUAACCGGAUAUAAAUAUUCUGGUGUCUGACGUAAUGAUCUUUUUUUUCGAAAAGGGGAUUCCCCGGCCUCUGCAUCAGAACGAUGCAUACGGCCAUGUUAAUAACCAAAUAAAGAAGUACCAACAUGAUUUCAAAGGUCUCCAAAAGUAAAAAAAAGUACAUAAAGCUCACACAGAGCCAAAUAAAGGCUAGAAACACCAACUAGCCAGGACAAGAUGCCACAACCGGCCGGCUCAAACUAGAUAGGGAAACUAAGUACCUAUCCUAUUACAUGACCGCCAUCCAAACCGGUUGAAGAUAUCCCGAGCUACCAUCUCCCAGCGGAAAGAUCCAGUAACCAAAUGCUCACUGGCCUCCGUCUGGGUGAGUAGCGACCACGAACGGAUCAGUGCCGUAGUUCGGAAUAUGACCUCCAAAAAAUGUAUACAUGAUAUUCUGUUAAAGAUCAAAUUAUUUCUGCAAGUCCAGAUAGUCCACAGCAAAGCACAAACUCCAACCCGAAUAUGUCUCGCUAAACCAGGCUCAAUCCCAUUAAGCCAAGUCCCAAAUAACGCAUUAACAGAAUUCGGUGGAUUGAUAUUAAAAGCAAUGUGGACUGUCUGCCAAAGUACCUUGGCCAACGGGCAAUCAAAAAAGAGGUGUUUGAUAGUCUCAUCCCGAUCGCAGAAACUACACCUAGUAGGUCUUGUUCAAUUACGCUUUUAUCAAGUUGUCCUUAGUUAAAAUAACUUGUUUAUGGACAAACCACAUAAACACUUUUAUUUUCAAAGGAACUUUGACAUCCCAAACAUGCUUAGACGUAGAAAUGGAAUUUGAAUUAAUAACAUCAAUAUACAUUGAUUUAACCGUGAAUACUCCAGACUUAGUCAAUUUCCAACGCAAUUCAUCGGGUUGUUGGGAAAGCUGGACGUCCGUCAGUCUCCUAACUAGACGGAGCCAUUCUUCCCAACGGUUUCCCGCUGGCGUUCAUCGGAACUGGAUAUUAAGGGGGGUAGACUGAAAGACCGAUGCGAUGAAUACCUCACGUCGUUGAACAAUGCGGUACAAAGACGGAUAUUGGAUGGCCAGGGGUGUCCCGCCAAGCCAAGUAUCCUCCCAGAAACGUGUACUCGAGCCGUUUCCAAUCACAAACUUCGUCCUAUUAAAUAAGGCCUGUUUGACUUUCAUCAGGCCUUUUCAGAAAGGCGAAUCGGUCAGCCUGACUGUAACCUGGGACAGAGUUUUUGUCUGGAGGUACUUGCUGCGAAGGAUUUGAGCCCACAUAGCAUCAGUCUCCAAUGAGAGCUUCCACAGCCACUUGCUAAGAAGGCAUUUAUUCUUAACUUCUAGAUUCUCAAUACCUAGACCCCCUUGGUCUUUUGGUCUACAGAUGAUGUCCCAUUUAGCAAGCCGAUAUUUUCUUUUAAGCUCAUCACCCUGCCAAAAGAAACGCGAUCGAUAGAAGUCCAGUCUCUUCCUAACACCAACUGGGACCUCAAAGAACGAUGGGAGAAACAUUGACAUGCUCGUGAGCACUGAAUUAAUCAGGAUUAAUCGGCCUCCGUCUGAUAUGAGCUUACCCUUCCAGCAGCUCAGUUUCUUCUCAAAUCGGUCCUCAAUGCACUUCCACUCUCUGUUUGUCAACCUACGAUGGUGGAUUGGAAUCCCCAAGUAGGAGAAGGGUAACUCUCCCAACUCGCACCCAAACAAUUGCCUAUAAGUAUCCUGUUCAUGUUUGGCCCUACCAAAACAGAACAGCUCGCUCUUAUGAAAGUUAAUCUUUAACCCGGUCAAUUGUUCGAAAAGGCAUAACACAAGCUUCAUAUUACUAGCCUUGGCCAAGUCAUGCUCCAUGAAGAUGAUUGUAUCAUCAGCGUACUGAAGGAUGGAUACACCUCCAUCAAUAAGAUGAGGUACCAAUCCACCUACUUGACCAUUUUCCUUAGCCCUUCCUAUCAAGAUUGCUAAGAUAUCCACCACAAUGUUAAACAAGAUAGGGGACAUCGGAUCUCCUUGUCUGAGGCCUUUAUGUGUCUGGAAGUAAUGACCUAUGUCAUCAUUAACUUUAAUUCCCACACUAUCUUUUUGCGUAAAUGAUUCAACCUGUCGGCGCCAGGCCUCAUCAAAACCUUUCAUACACAAUGACUGUUGGAGGAAUGGCCAUUUGACCUUAUCGUACGCUUUCUCAAAAUCCACCUUAAAAAUUACACCAUCUAAUUUUUUGGAAUGGAUUUCAUGGAGUGUUUCAUGCAGGACGACCACCCCUUCAAGGAUAUUUCUGUCCGGCAGGAAAGCAGUUUGGGACUGUUGCACCACAGAAUGCGCAAUCUGUGUGAGUCUGUUAGUCCCGACUGAAGGAAAUAUGCCCUAGAGGCAAUAAUAAAGAUAUUAUUUAUUUCCUUAUAUCAUGAUAAAUGUUUAUUAUUCAUGCUAGAAUUGUAUUAACCGGAAACAUAAUACAUGUGUGAAUACAUAGACAAACAAAGUGUCACUAGUAUGCCUCUACUUGACUAGCUCGUUAAUCAAAGAUGGUUAUGUUUCCUAACCAUGGACAAAGAGUUGUCAUUUGAUUAACGGGAUCACAUCAUUAGUUGAACGAUCUGAUUGACAUGACCCAUUCCACUAGCUUAGCACCCGAUCGUUUAGUAUGUUGAUAUUGCUUUCUUCAUGACUUAUACAUGUUCCUAUGACUAUGAGAUUAUGUAACUCCCAUGUGCCGGAGGAACACUUUGUGUGCUACCAAACGUCACAACGUAACUGGGUGAUUAUAAAGGUGCUCUACAGGUGUCUCCAAAGAUACAUGUUGGGUUGACGUAUUUCGAGAUUAGGAUUUGUCACUCCGAUCGUCGGAGAGGUAUCUCUGGGCCCUCUCGGUAAAGGUACAUGAGUUAGUUGCGGGAUGAUGCAUUAAGGAACGAGUAAAGAGACUUGCCGAUAAAGAGAUUGAAGUAGGUAUUGGAUACCGACAAUUGAAUCUCGGGCAAGUAACAUACCGAUGACAAAGGGAACAACGUAUGUUGUUAUGCGGUCUGACCAAUAAAGAUCUUCGUAGAAUAUGUAGGAGACAAUAUGGGCAUCCAGGUCCCGUUGUUGGUUAUUGACCGGAGACGUGUCUCGGUCAUGUCUACAUUGUUCUCGAACCGUAGGGUCUGCACGCUUAAAGUUACGAUGACAGUUUCAUUAUGAGUUUAUGUAUUUUGAUGUACCGAAGGUUGUUCGGAGUCCCGGAUGUGAACACGGACAUGACGAGGAGUCUCGAAAUGGUCGAGACAUAAAGAUUGAUAUAUUCGGACACGGGAAGUGUUCCGGGGAAGUUUCGGAUAAAACCGGAGAACCGGGGGGUUACCGGAACCCCCCGGGGGGUUAAUGGGCCUCAUGGGCCUAAAGUGGAGAAGAGGAAAGGCAGCCAGGGCAGGCCGUGCGCCCCCUCUCCCCCUAGUCCGAAUUGGACAAGGAGGGAGGGGCGGCGCCCCCCUUUCCUUCCUCUCCUCUCUCCCUUCCUUCCCCCUCUCCUACUUGGACAAGGAAAGGGAGGGGAGUCCUACUCCCAGUAGGAGUAGGACUCCUCCUGCGCGCCUCCUACUAGGGCCGGCCGCACCCCCCCCCUUGGCUCCUUUAUAUACGGGGGCAAGGGGGCACCCUAGGACACAGAAGUUGAUCUUCGUGAUCGUUACUUAGCCGUGUGUGGUGCCCCCCUCCACGAUAUUACACCUCGAUCAUAUUGUAGCGGUGCUUAGGCGAAGCCCUACGACGGUUAAACAUCAAGAUAGUCACCACGCCGUCGUGCUGACGAAACUCCUCCACCGAAGCUUUGCUGGAUCGGAGCCCCGGGUGCGUCAUCGAGCUGUACGUGUGUCAAGAACUCGGAGGUGCCGGAGUAACGGUGCUUGGAUCGGUUGGACCGGGAAGACGUACGACUACUUCCUCUACGUUGCGUCAACGCUUCCGCGUCGAUCUACAAGGGUACGUAGAUCACACUCUCCCCUCUCGUUGCUAUGCAUCACCAUUAUCUUGCGUGUGCGUAGGAAUUUUUUUUAAAUUACUACGUUACCCAACACCGACCUUGGUGAAAAUUUUGAAACUAACAUUGAGGAGACAUAUCGGCCUGAAUUGCUCAAUUCUCACAGCAUCCGUCUUUUUAGGAAGCAGUGUGAUAGUCCCAAAAUUCAAGUGAAAUAAUUGAAGCUGUCCGGAAAACAGAUCAUGGAACAUAGGUGGUAAAUCCCCCUUAAUAAUGUGCCAGCACUUUUUAUAGAACUCUGCCGGGAAUCCAUCCGGUCCGGGAGCCUUGUUGUUUUUCAUCUGUGCAAUAGCAUCAAAAACCUCCUUCUCCGAAAACGGGGCAACCAGAAUAUCAUUAUCAGCAGCUGAUAGCUGAGGUACGUUCUCAGUCCUGGACUCAUCGGGGGACACACAAUUAUCCUCCGGAGGUCCAAAUAACUGCUUAUAAUAGUCGGUAAUAUAUGUUUUUAGGUUAUCCUGACCUAAAAUAGUGCCCUCGUCUUGCUCAAGCUGAAAGAUACGCUUCUUUCUGUGCUUGCCAUUAGCUAUCAAAUGGAAGAACUGAGUGUUCGCAUCCCCUUGGACCACUUUGCGGACUUUGGCACGCAAAGCCCACUUCAAUUCUUCUUCGCGAAACAGUUCUUUCAGCCUCUUCUCCGCCUCAUUUUUAGCCUGAAGCUGAGCUGGCGACAAGAUAUUGACUUCGGCCUAUAUGUCCAGGGCCUGUAUAAGAGUAAGGAGUCUAUCCUUUUCAAUCUUAUACACACCACUGAGGUUCUUAGCCCAACCCCGUAAGAAACUUCUUAAAUGCCUAAUCUUAUUAUGCCAACACUCUAUCUCAUUCUUGCCUCCUACACCUCUAUCCCAUUCCCUGGCGAUCAAGUCCAAGAACCCCUCACGUUCAAACCAAGACAUCUCGAAGGAGAAGGUAUUCUUGUUACCCUCAUGGUUCGGCUCCCCUGAGUCCACGAACAAUGGGGUGUGAUCAGAUAUUCCCCUCGAAAGAGCUUGCACCGUAACCAGAGGGAACUUUUGUUCCCACUCCACGCUCGCAAGUACUCGAUCAAGUUUUUCAUAGGUUGGGUUUGGUAGAGCAUUAGCCCAGGUGAACUUUCUCCCAGAAAGCUCUAUCUCUCUCAGAUCCAAGAUUUCAAUAAUGGUGUUGAACAUAAACGACCAUCUGCCGUCAAAGUUAUCAUUGUUCUUCUCCUCUCUCCUCCUGAUGAUAUUGAAAUCACCUCCAACUAAAAUUGGAAGCUGUUCUGACCCACAGAUUCGAACAAGGUACGCCAGAAACUCCGCUUUAAGUUCAGGCUGUGCGUCACCAUAAACCGCCACCAAAGCCUAGUUAAAACCAUCUACCCUAGACCUGACUCGAAACUUGACCACGAAGUCUCCCAUCACGACACUUCGGACUUCAAGCGAAUCGCAUCUCACACCUAGUAAGAUACCACCUGAUCUUCCUCGCGGAGGGAGGCAAUGCCAAUCGAAAUCAAUACCACCAACAAGAGAAGAGAGAAACUGGGGCGCAAAGUUUUCUCUACCCGUCUCCGAUAGAGCAACAAAAUCUAACCUCUGCUCUAGAGCUGCCUCAGCUAGGAAUCUUCUUUUAGCCAAGUCCUUCAGACCUCUGCUAUUCCAAAAAAUUCCUCUCAUAGUUCAUCAUGGAAUUUUUUAGUAACUCGAAUCCUAGCACUCCUAUGAACUACGGAAUCUGGAUAGAUCUUCCGUUUCCACUUACGCUUAGGUUUACUAGGCUCAGUCACCCGGUCCUCAUAACCGGGUUCACAUAUAUUGCUAGCCUCAUUCUCUAGGGGUACAUCAUCUUCCUCAGAGUCAUGAUUGGGGGGUGCUAGAUCCGCACACAGAUUAUCGAGCACUCUAACCCCUAACGCAUCAAUCUCAUCAUCAUUCAUGACGUAAUGACCUGAUCAUCGUCUUUCAAACAAUUUUCCGCGAUAAGUUGGGCAUGAAACAGGAUGGGCCGCUUUGAUGCCAGGACAAUCAUUUUAGGUUUUUUAGGCUUAUGCCCUUGGUUGGUUCCCACUACUCUUAGAUUUCGGACCUACACAGUUUUACCCUUGUUUCAAUAUAAAACCAUUUUUUUAUUUUCGAUUUGAACUCAAUUUCAUCAAUUCUGAAGUUGCUACCCACAUGUGUGAUGUGGUCUGUUAGACCAUUGCUUAGGGCAUCUCCAAUGCAGACUCCUACUCCGGCCUCAAAUGUCUGGACCGGAUGGUUCAGACACUUUAGGCCUCCAAUGUGGACUCCUACUUUGGGCCGGACACGUCCAAAAUCACUCAGUCCGUCCACAAAUCGAGAGGCAGGGUUGGGGAGUCUAGGCGUCAUCAUGCCCCAUUACUACAUCUUAACCCAGCAACCACCUCCUUGAC
This 6412-nucleotide long non-coding RNA is filed under the name Triticum aestivum (bread wheat). RNAcentral describes it as "long non-coding RNA (TAES_LNC014190)". Lineage: Eukaryota; Viridiplantae; Streptophyta; Magnoliopsida; Poales; Poaceae. The record is from RNAcentral.